This 19-nucleotide non-coding RNA is filed under the name Arabidopsis thaliana (thale cress). The record is from RNAcentral. Lineage: Eukaryota; Viridiplantae; Streptophyta; Magnoliopsida; Brassicales; Brassicaceae.
UUGGCUGGGGCGGCACAUC